CAGACCAGUGGCCACUGCUGCCAGCUCAGCCCUGUAAUGGGUUUCCUGGGUUGAGAUGUCUGGGGAAGGGCCCAAUAUCAAACCUUUAAACUGAAUUAGUUGUCUGAGAAGGCCAUGUGCCGUAACAUUUAAACUUGUUAAAACUUUCAACAACGGAUCUCUUGGCUCUCGCAUCGAUGAAGAACGCAGCGAAAUGCGAUAAGUAAUGUGAAUUGCAGAAUUCAGUGAAUCAUCGAAUCUUUGAACGCACAUUGCGCCCUUUGGUAUUCCUUAGGGCAUGCCUGUUCGAGCGUCACUAAAAACCCUCUCACAGAUAAUGUGGUAUUGGUAGAAGUGGAUAGUACUAACACUACCCAAUCUUACUCUACUCAAA
Molecule: unclassified non-coding RNA, 373 nt
Filed under: Tuber sp. 18 KA-2010
Lineage: Eukaryota; Fungi; Ascomycota; Pezizomycetes; Pezizales; Tuberaceae
Description: partial contains ITS1, 5.8S rRNA, ITS2 and 28S rRNA
Rfam family: 5.8S ribosomal RNA (bases 142-295)
Source: RNAcentral